RNAcentral lists this ribosomal RNA (253 nucleotides) under uncultured bacterium. Its description in RNAcentral is "partial 16S ribosomal RNA". It matches the Rfam family "Bacterial small subunit ribosomal RNA", at positions 524 to 776 of the family's 1533-position model. The record is from RNAcentral.
GACGAACCGUGCGAACGUUAUUCGGAAUCACUGGGCUUAAAGGGCGCGUAGGCGGGCCGAAAAGUCAGGGGUGAAAUCCUCCAGCCCAACUGGAGAAGCGCCUUUGGUACUGUCGGCCUCGAGGGGUGCAGGGGCAUGCGGAACUCAGGGUGGAGCGGUGAAAUGCGUAGAUAUCGAGAGGAACACCUGCGGCGAAGGCGGGUUGCUGGGCCGACACUGACGCUGAUGCGCGAAAGCCAGGGGAGCGAACGGG